UAUUGGGGCGCUUCCCGCGGUGGGAGGCUGAGAUGCACCCUUUGAACCUGAUCCGGGUAAUGCCGGCGUAGGAAAUUAC
Molecule: non-coding RNA, 79 nt
Filed under: bovine gut metagenome
Description: TPP riboswitch (THI element)
Rfam family: TPP riboswitch aptamer (THI element)
About the family: Vitamin B(1) in its active form thiamin pyrophosphate (TPP) is an essential coenzyme that is synthesised by coupling of pyrimidine and thiazole moieties in bacteria. The previously detected thiamin-regulatory element, thi box was extended, resulting in a new, highly conserved RNA secondary structure, the THI element, which is widely distributed in eubacteria and also occurs in some archaea.
Source: RNAcentral